CCUACGGGGGGCUGCAGUGAGGAAUAUUGGUCAAUGGGCGUAAGCCUGAACCAGCCAUCCCGCGUGCAGGAAGAAGGCGCUGUGCGUCGUAAACUGCUUUUCCAGGGGAAGAAAACCCGAUACGUGUAUCGGCUUGCCGGUACCCUGGGAAUAAGCAUCGGCUAACUCCGUGCCAGCAGCCGCGGUAAUACGGAGGAUGCGAGCGUUAUCCGGUUUUAAGGGGUUUAAGGGGUACGUAGGAGUCAGAAGUGAAAACCUUCAGCUUAACUGGAGACUUGCCAUUGAUACUGUUAGUCUUGAGUACGGUCAAGGUAGGCGGAAUGUGUAAUGUAGCGGUGAAAUGCUUAGAUAUUACACAGAACACCGAUUGCGAAGGCAGCUUACUGGGCCAUUACUGACGCUGAUGCACGAAAGCGUGGGGAGCGAACAGGAUUAGAUACCCGAGUAGUC
Molecule: ribosomal RNA, 450 nt
Filed under: uncultured bacterium
Lineage: Bacteria
Description: partial 16S ribosomal RNA
Rfam family: Bacterial small subunit ribosomal RNA
Source: RNAcentral